RNAcentral lists this ribosomal RNA (301 nucleotides) under uncultured bacterium. Its description in RNAcentral is "partial 16S ribosomal RNA". It matches the Rfam family "Bacterial small subunit ribosomal RNA", at positions 509 to 807 of the family's 1533-position model. The record is from RNAcentral.
CAGUCGCCGCGGGAAUACGAAGGGUGCAAGCGUUACUCGGAAUUACUGGGCGUAAAGCGUGCGUAGGUGGUGGUUUAAGUCCGUUGUGAAAGCCCUGGGCUCAACCUGGGAAUGGCAGUGGAUACUGGCUCGCUAGAGUGUGUCAGAGGAUGGUGGAAUUCCCGGUGUAGCGGUGAAAUGCGUAGAGAUCGGGAGGAACAUCAGUGGCGAAGGCGGCCAUCUGGGACAACACUGACGCUGAGGCACGAAAGCGUGGGGAGCAAACAGGAUUAGAUACCCCAGUAGUCCCUGUCUCUUAUAC